RNAcentral lists this ribosomal RNA (462 nucleotides) under uncultured bacterium. RNAcentral describes it as "partial 16S ribosomal RNA". It matches the Rfam family "Bacterial small subunit ribosomal RNA", at positions 28 to 507 of the family's 1533-position model. The record is from RNAcentral.
GACGAACGCUGGCGGCGUGCUUAACACAUGCAAGUCGAACGGAAAGGCCCUUCGGGGUACUCGAGUGGCGAACGGGAGCGUAACACGUGGGCGAUCUGCCCUGCACUUUGGGAUAAGCCUGGGUACCUGGGACUAAUACCGAAUAGGACCACGCGCUUCAUGGUGUGUGGUGGAAAGCUUUUGCGGCGUGGGAUGGGCCCGCGGCCUAUCAGCUUGGUGGUGGGGUAAUGGCCUACCAAGGCGACGGCGGGUACCCGGCCCGGGGGGGGGACCGGCCACACUGGGACUGAGGUUCGGCCCAGAACCCUUCGGGGGGCAGGAGGGGGGAAAUAUGCCAAAAGGGGGGAAGCCUGGAGCAGCGACGCCGCGGGGGGGAUGGCGGCCUUCGGGGUGGAAACCUCUUUCAGUAGGGACGGAGGGGUAGGGGCGGUACCUAGAGAAGGAGGACCGGCCAACUUCGGG